RNAcentral lists this Y RNA (114 nucleotides) under Saimiri boliviensis boliviensis (Bolivian squirrel monkey). RNAcentral's name for it is "Y RNA (ENSSBOG00000003117.1)". It matches the Rfam family "Y RNA". From Rfam's summary of the family: Y RNAs are components of the Ro ribonucleoprotein particle (Ro RNP), in association with Ro60 and La proteins. The Y RNAs and Ro60 and La proteins are well conserved, but the function of the Ro RNP is not known. The record is from Rfam by way of RNAcentral. Lineage: Eukaryota; Metazoa; Chordata; Mammalia; Primates; Cebidae.
GUCCGGUCCGGAGGUAGUGAGUUACAUCAAUUGAUUGUUCACAGUCGGUUACAGAUUGAACUCCUUGCUCUAUUCUUUUCCCCACUUCUCACUGCUGCACUUGACCAGUCUUAA